GCCGCGGUAGUAUAGCCCGGUCAAGCAUGCUGCGCCGAAAGUAUGCGGGCCUCUCAAGCCCGUGGCCCGGGUUCAAAUCCCGGCCGCGGCA
RNAcentral lists this transfer RNA (91 nucleotides) under Sulfolobus sp. S-194. RNAcentral's name for it is "tRNA-Glu". It matches the Rfam family "tRNA". Rfam says of the family: Transfer RNA (tRNA) molecules are approximately 80 nucleotides in length. Their secondary structure includes four short double-helical elements and three loops (D, anti-codon, and T loops). Further hydrogen bonds mediate the characteristic L-shaped molecular structure. tRNAs have two regions of fundamental functional importance: the anti-codon, which is responsible for specific mRNA codon recognition, and the 3' end, to which the tRNAs corresponding amino acid is attached (by aminoacyl-tRNA synthetases). tRNAs cope with the degeneracy of the genetic code in two manners: having more than one tRNA (with a specific anti-codon) for a particular amino acid; and 'wobble' base-pairing, i.e. permitting non-standard base-pairing at the 3rd anti-codon position. The record is from RNAcentral. Lineage: Archaea; Thermoproteati; Thermoproteota; Thermoprotei; Sulfolobales; Sulfolobaceae.